AACGUGGAGUACGCUGAAUCACCUCCCUGAGCAAAAUUGGUGCUUCUGAGCUUGAGACCCGAGUUUACAGUGGGAAUAAGACAGAGGUCCUUUCUCUGUGGAACUACUUCGUGGGAUUAUACUCCGCACGAGCCUUACUUUCCUCUAGAUGUACCGGGCUUCCUCGAGCACCAUCGGGGCCAGAACAGAGAAGGAAGGAAGGAUAAAGGGAAUCCAGCAAAGCGAUUUAAGGAUGAUGUUUAAAAAAUGAACUCAAAUCAUGGGUAAAGGUAAAAGUGGGAAGAAAAAAAAAAAAAAAGGAAAGUGUACUGAAAGCAGCAAUACGAAGAAAAUUUGAAGAACAGAA
This is a long non-coding RNA of Mustela lutreola (European mink), 346 nucleotides long. RefSeq lists it as uncharacterized. The record is from RefSeq and is a predicted model, not a curated record. Lineage: Eukaryota; Metazoa; Chordata; Mammalia; Carnivora; Mustelidae. The transcript is spliced from 2 exons.